UCCUACGGGAGGCAGCAGUGGGGAAUCUUCCGCAAUGGGCGAAAGCCUGACGGAGCAAUGCCGCGUGAAUGAAGAAGGCCUUCGGGUUGUAAAGUUCUGUCCUUAAGGAAGAAUGUCAUGCGUGUGAAUAAUGCGUGUGAGUGACGGUACUUAUGGAGGAAGCCCCGGCUAACUACGUGCCAGCAGCCGCGGUAAUACGUAGGGGGCAAGCGUUGUCCGGAAUCACUGGGCGUAAAGCGCAUGUAGGCGGAUGUUUAAGUCAGAUGUGAAAACUAUGGGCUCAACCUGUAGAUUGCAUCUGAUACUGGAUAUCUUGAGUAUGAGAGAGGAAAGUGGAAUUCCUAGUGUAGCGGUGAAAUGCGUAGAUAUUAGGAGGAACACCAGUGGCGAAGGCGACUUUCUGGCUCAUAACUGACGCUGAGAUGCGAAAGCGUGGGGAGCAAACAGGAUUAGAUACCCUGGUAGUCCACGCCGUAAACGAUGGGUACUAGGUGUUGGGGCGUCAAAACCUCAGUGCCGCAGUUAACACAAUAAGUACCCCGCCUGGGGAGUACGGUCGCAAGACUGAAACUCAAAUGAAUUGACGG
RNAcentral lists this ribosomal RNA (587 nucleotides) under uncultured bacterium. RNAcentral's name for it is "bacterial SSU rRNA". It matches the Rfam family "Bacterial small subunit ribosomal RNA", at positions 337 to 916 of the family's 1533-position model. The record is from RNAcentral.